RNAcentral lists this ribosomal RNA (253 nucleotides) under uncultured bacterium. RNAcentral describes it as "partial 16S ribosomal RNA". It matches the Rfam family "Bacterial small subunit ribosomal RNA", at positions 524 to 776 of the family's 1533-position model. The record is from RNAcentral.
UACGGAGGGGGCUAGCGUUGUUCGGAAUUACUGGGCGUAAAGCGCACGUAGGCGGCUUUGUAAGUUAGAGGUGAAAGCCCGGGGCUCAACUCCGGAAUUGCCUUUAAGACUGCAUCGCUAGAAUUGUGGAGAGGUAAGUGGAAUUCCGAGUGUAGAGGUGAAAUUCGUAGAUAUUCGGAAGAACACCAGUGGCGAAGGCGACUUACUGGCCCGGUACUGACGCUGAGGUGCGAAAGCGUGGGGAGCAAACAGG